This 1516-nucleotide ribosomal RNA is filed under the name Limosilactobacillus equigenerosi DSM 18793 = JCM 14505. RNAcentral's name for it is "bacterial SSU rRNA". It matches the Rfam family "Bacterial small subunit ribosomal RNA". The record is from RNAcentral. Lineage: Bacteria; Bacillati; Bacillota; Bacilli; Lactobacillales; Lactobacillaceae.
UCCUGGCUCAGGAUGAACGCCGGCGGUGUGCCUAAUACAUGCAAGUCGUACGCGUUGGCCCAACUGAUUUGAAGUGCUUGCACGGAUCUGACGUUGGUUUACCAACGAGUGGCGGACGGGUGAGUAACACGUAGGUAACCUGCCCAGAAGCGGGGGACAACACUUGGAAACAGGUGCUAAUACCGCAUAACAAUUCAAAUCGCAUGAUUUGAAUUURAAAGAUGGUUUCGGCUAUCACUUCUGGAUGGACCUGCGGCGCAUUAGCUUGUUGGURGGGUAAYGGCYUACCAAGGCAGUGAUGCGUAGCCGAGUUGAGAGACUGAUCGGCCACAAUGGGACUGAGACACGGCCCAUACUCCUACGGGAGGCAGCAGUAGGGAAUCUUCCACAAUGGGCGCAAGCCUGAUGGAGCAACACCGCGUGAGUGAAGAAGGUUUUCGGAUCGUAAAGCUCUGUUGUUGAAGAAGAACGUGCAUGAGAGUAACUGUUCAUGCRGUGACGGUAUUCAACCAGAAAGUCACGGCUAACUACGUGCCAGCAGCCGCGGUAAUACGUAGGUGGCAAGCGUUAUCCGGAUUUAUUGGGCGUAAAGAGAGUGCAGGCGGUUUCUUAAGUCUGAUGUGAAAGCCUUCGGCUCAACCGAAGAAGUGCAUCGGAAACUGGGRAACUUGAGUACAGAAGAGGGCAGUGGAACUCCAUGUGUAGCGGUGGAAUGCGUAGAUAUAUGGAAGAACACCAGUGGCGAAGGCGGCUGCCUGGUCUGUAACUGACGCUGAGACUCGAAAGCAUGGGUAGCGAACAGGAUUAGAUACCCUGGUAGUCCAUGCCGUAAACGAUGAGUGCUAGGUGUUGGAGGGUUUCCGCCCUUCAGUGCCGGAGCUAACGCAUUAAGCACUCCGCCUGGGGAGUACGACCGCAAGGUUGAAACUCAAAGGAAUUGACGGGGGCCCGCACAAGCGGUGGAGCAUGUGGUUUAAUUCGAAGCUACGCGAAGAACCUUACCAGGUCUUGACAUCUUGCGCCAACCCUAGAGAUAGGGCGUUUCCUUCGGGAACGCAAUGACAGGUGGUGCAUGGUCGUCGUCAGCUCGUGUCGUGAGAUGUUGGGUUAAGUCCCGCAACGAGCGCAACCCUUGUUACUAGUUGCCAGCAUUMAGUUGGGCACUCUAGUGAGACUGCCGGUGACAAACCGGAGGAAGGUGGGGACGACGUCAGAUCAUCAUGCCCCUUAUGACCUGGGCUACACACGUGCUACAAUGGACGGUACAACGAGCAGCGAACUCGCGAGGGCAAGCAAAUCUCUUAAAACCGUUCUCAGUUCGGAUUGCAGGCUGCAACUCGCCUGCAUGAAGUCGGAAUCGCUAGUAAUCGCGGAUCAGCAUGCCGCGGUGAAUACGUUCCCGGGCCUUGUACACACCGCCCGUCACACCAUGAGAGUUUGUAACACCCAAAGUCGGUGGGGUAACCUUUUGGAGCCAGCCGCCUAAGGUGGGACAGAUGAUUAGGGUGAAGUCGUA